RNAcentral lists this ribosomal RNA (467 nucleotides) under uncultured bacterium. RNAcentral describes it as "partial 16S ribosomal RNA". It matches the Rfam family "Bacterial small subunit ribosomal RNA", at positions 29 to 507 of the family's 1533-position model. The record is from RNAcentral.
ACGAACGCUGGCGGCGUGCUUAACACAUGCAAGUCGAACGGAAAGGCCCUGCUUUUGUGGGGUGCUCGCGUGGCGAACGGGUGAGUAACACGUGAGUAACCUGCCCUUGACUUUGGGAUAACUUCGGGAAACUGGGGCUAAUACCGGAUAGGAGCUCCUGCUGCAUGGUGGGGGUUGGAAAGUUUCGGCGGUUGGGGAUGGACUCGCGGCUUAUCAGCUUGUUGGUGGGGUAGUGGCUUACCAAGGCUUUGACGGGUAGCCGGCCUGAGAGGGUGACCGGCCACAUUGGGACUGAGAUACGGCCCAGACUCCUACGGGAGGCAGCAGUGGGGAAUAUUGCACAAUGGGCGGAAGCCUGAUGCAGCAACGCCGCGUGCGGGAUGACGGCCUUCGGGUUGUAAACCGCUUUCGCCUGUGACGAAGCGUGAGUGACGGUAAUGGGUAAAGAAGCACCGGCUAACUACGUG